CACCUGCCUCGGCAUCCCAAAGUGCUGGGAUUACAGGCCUGAGCCACCACACCCAGCCAGGACUGAACGUGAUUUUCAGACCUGGUCUACACCUCUCUGAGCCUCAUUCCCUUCAUCGGUAGUGUGGAGGUAAUAGUCAUCCUCACAUCAGGGCUGAACGCUGUCUUUCUGCAGCUCAGGCAUCGGUGGAUACCCAGGAAAUGGAAGACCAAAGUCAAAAUAGUUGAGUAACACACGGCACUUACUAUGUUGUAAGUGUUUUAGAGACUUCCACGAUUUCAUCCUCACAACAUGAUGCUCAGGGACAUGGGGCCAGGUCCACAGCCCGAGAAGAAUUCCCACAUGUCACUGGAGAAACCCAGUGGGAGGUGACUGAAUGAUGGAGGUGGAUCAUUCAUGUGCUGCUCUUGUGAUAGUGAAUGAGUCUCAGAAGAUCUCAUGGUUUUAAAAACAGGAGUUUCCCUGCACA
Molecule: non-coding RNA, 469 nt
Organism: Macaca mulatta (Rhesus monkey)
Lineage: Eukaryota; Metazoa; Chordata; Mammalia; Primates; Cercopithecidae
Source: RefSeq, a predicted model, not a curated record